RNAcentral lists this ribosomal RNA (497 nucleotides) under uncultured bacterium. RNAcentral describes it as "partial 16S ribosomal RNA". It matches the Rfam family "Bacterial small subunit ribosomal RNA", at positions 28 to 507 of the family's 1533-position model. The record is from RNAcentral.
GAUGAACGCUGGCGGCGUGCCUAAUACAUGCCAGUCGAGCGAACAGACGAGGAGCUUGCUCCUUUGACGUUAGCGGCGGACGGGUGAGUAACACGUGGAUAACCUACCUAUAAGACUGGGAUAACUUCGGGAAACCGGAGCUAAUACCGGAUAAUAUAUUGAACCGCAUGGUUCAAUAGUGAAAGACGGUUUUGCUGUCACUUAUAGAUGGAUCCGCGCCGCAUUAGCUAGUUGGUAAGGUAACGGCUUACCAAGGCAACGAUGCGUAGCCGACCUGAGAGGGUGAUCGGCCACACUGGAACUGAGACACGGUCCAGACUCCUACGGGAGGCAGCAGUAGGGAAUCUUCCGCAAUGGGCGAAAGCCUGACGGAGCAACGCCGCGUGAGUGAUGAAGGUCUUCGGAUCGUAAAACUCUGUUAUUAGGGAAGAACAAAUGUGUAAGUAACUAUGCACGUCUUGACGGUACCUAAUCAGAAAGCCACGGCUAACUACGUG